Molecule: transfer RNA, 70 nt
Filed under: Nannacara anomala (goldeneye cichlid)
Lineage: Eukaryota; Metazoa; Chordata; Actinopteri; Cichliformes; Cichlidae
Description: tRNA-Tyr
Rfam family: tRNA
About the family: Transfer RNA (tRNA) molecules are approximately 80 nucleotides in length.
Source: RNAcentral
GGUAAAAUGGCUGAGAGUUAAGCGGUGGUUUGUAGCCCCAUGCACAGAGGUUAGAGCCCUCUUUUUAUCA